RNAcentral lists this ribosomal RNA (669 nucleotides) under Bacillus velezensis. RNAcentral's name for it is "bacterial SSU rRNA". It matches the Rfam family "Bacterial small subunit ribosomal RNA", at positions 45 to 699 of the family's 1533-position model. Lineage: Bacteria; Bacillati; Bacillota; Bacilli; Caryophanales; Bacillaceae. The record is from RNAcentral.
UGCUAUACAUGCAGUCGAGCGGACAGAUGGGAGCUUGCUCCCUGAUGUUAGCGGCGGACGGGUGAGUAACACGUGGGUAACCUGCCUGUAAGACUGGGAUAACUCCGGGAAACCGGGGCUAAUACCGGAUGGUUGUUUGAACCGCAUGGUUCAGACAUAAAAGGUGGCUUCGGCUACCACUUACAGAUGGACCCGCGGCGCAUUAGCUAGUUGGUGAGGUAACGGCUCACCAAGGCGACGAUGCGUAGCCGACCUGAGAGGGUGAUCGGCCACACUGGGACUGAGACACGGCCCAGACUCCUACGGGAGGCAGCAGUAGGGAAUCUUCCGCAAUGGACGAAAGUCUGACGGAGCAACGCCGCGUGAGUGAUGAAGGUUUUCGGAUCGUAAAGCUCUGUUGUUAGGGAAGAACAAGUGCCGUUCAAAUAGGGCGGCACCUUGACGGUACCUAACCAGAAAGCCACGGCUAACUACGUGCCAGCAGCCGCGGUAAUACGUAGGUGGCAAGCGUUGUCCGGAAUUAUUGGGCGUAAAGGGCUCGCAGGCGGUUUCUUAAGUCUGAUGUGAAAGCCCCCGGCUCAACCGGGGAGGGUCAUUGGAAACUGGGGAACUUGAGUGCAGAAGAGGAGAGUGGAAUUCCACGUGUAGCGGUGAAAUGCGUAGAGAUGU